RNAcentral lists this unclassified non-coding RNA (1281 nucleotides) under uncultured soil eukaryote. RNAcentral describes it as "sequence contains 18S rRNA gene, ITS1, 5.8S rRNA gene, ITS2, 28S rRNA gene". The stretch from base 421 to 1281 matches the Rfam family "Eukaryotic large subunit ribosomal RNA", at positions 1 to 961 of the family's 3401-position model. The record is from RNAcentral.
GGAUGGAUCAUUCUUGGUUUUAAUUCCCAACCUAAUGAACUCACUGCAUUACCUUUAAUGCUCUCAACGACUACUCUAAACUAAAAACUCUUAGCGAUGGAUGACUCGACUCUCGUAACGAGGAAGGACGCAGCAAACCGCGAUAAGCAGUAUGACUUGCGAACUCUCGUGAAUCACCAGAUUUCUGAACGCAAUUGUACUCCGGCCUUCAUGGCUAGAGUACGCUUGGUUCGGUAUCAUUUAGAUUUCCAAAGACGCCAAGCUUUUACACUGUAGGAAGUGAUGGUGCCUUUGGGCCUAGAGCUCUCACCUUGGUGUUAGCUGGCCAGGUGCAUCCUUCAGAUAGAGCCAGACUCCACUCCAGUAGACUUACUAAGCGGAGACUGCCCUACCUUAUGAGGGAUGCUCUUUUAUACUUCUUGAUCCGAACUCAAGCGAGGCUACCCGCUGAAUUUAAGCAUAUUAUUAAGCGGAGGAAUAGAAACCAACAGGGAUUCCCGUAGUAGCGGCGAGCGAAGUGGGAACAGCCCGAGAUGUAAAUCCUCGCUUUGGCGAGGAGGUGUACAUCUAACUUUGACCUGAGAGGUCGUUACACUAAGUUGCCUGGAAAGGCACGCCACAGAGGGUGACAGUCCCGUCUUUGUGUAGCGAAUCUCCCGUCUGGUCAAAGUUGCUUGAGUCACGCUCUUUGGGAGUAGAGCGCAAAUUGGGUGGUGACCUCCAUCCAUGGCUAAAUAUUAACGAGAGAUCGAUAGCAAACAAGUACCGUGAGGGAAAGUUGAAAAGUACUUCGAAAGGAGAGUUAAAAUACCUGAAAUCGCUAAGAGGGAAGCGACUGUCCGUGACCUAUGCUUGGUGACUCCCUAGCUUGGACCACCUUGUGACUUGACAGCACUUGACAGUUCCUUGAUUUCACCUUGUUGCUUCGGCGGCUCGGUGUUUUUCCUGGACUGGUCGAGUGCCUUGUCAAGAGAGCCACGGACAGGCGACCCGUCUUGAAACACGGACCAAGGAGUUAAACCAUUGUGCGAGUGUAUGGGUGGCAAACCCUUACGCGCAGUGAAAGCAAUAGCUGUGAGUUCCAACGAAACAGCGGCCGACCACGAAGUUCGAGCUUGAGCAUAAUGGUGUAGACCCGAAAGAUGGUGACCUAUACCUGGGUUGGGUGAAGCCAGGGGAAACCCUGGUGGAAGCUCGUAGCGAUACUGACGUGCAAAUCGUUCGUCAAACUUGGGCAUAGGGGCGAAAGACUAAUCGAACCGUCUAGUAGCUGGUUCCCUC